UACGGGGGGGGCAAGCGUUGUUCGGAAUUACUGGGCGUAAAGGGCUCGUAGGCGGCCAACUAAGUCAGACGUGAAAUCCCUCGGCUUAACCGGGGAACUGCAUCUGAUACUGGAUGGCUUGAGUUCGGGAGAGGGAUGCGGAAUUCCAGGUGUAGCGGUGAGAUGCGUAGAUAUCUGGAGGAACACCGGUGGCGAAGGCGGCAUCCUGGACCGAGAUUGACGCUGAGGCGCGAAAGCCAGGGGAGCAAACGGG
This 253-nucleotide ribosomal RNA is filed under the name uncultured bacterium. Its description in RNAcentral is "partial 16S ribosomal RNA". It matches the Rfam family "Bacterial small subunit ribosomal RNA", at positions 524 to 776 of the family's 1533-position model. The record is from RNAcentral.